AGUGAAUAAAAUUUAAUGUUUUACUAUUCGAUUAAAAAUAAUUGAGCGUAAUUUGGUGUUCUAAGCAUGUUUCAAAUCUUACUGCAUAAAAACGUCAAAUAUUAAAAAUCAUGAUUAUUUUCCAACAAAAAGAAUGCACAAUUUGGACAGAAAGAGUUUCAUUAAUAUCGCAUCUCACGUUUUACUCUGGACCUUGUUCAUAACAACAAGUUUCGUCCGUCCAAUUGAACGUGAAAUUUUAAAAGAAGAACUAUGGAAGUAUCAAUAUCCGUAUGUAAAAAGUUACGUGUCAUCAAGUUCUUUAUUCGUUUUCGUUUUCGCUGUGC
Molecule: unclassified non-coding RNA, 326 nt
Filed under: Agrilus planipennis (emerald ash borer)
Lineage: Eukaryota; Metazoa; Arthropoda; Insecta; Coleoptera; Buprestidae
Description: phospholipid phosphatase 5, transcript variant X3
Source: RNAcentral